UAUGCAUAUUACCUACAUAUAAUUACUGUGAAUGCUUUGAAGUACUAGUGCGAACUACGAAUGGCUUGAUUCCUGUUUAGGGUAAGUAGGCAAUCUAACGAGACGCUAGAUGUAGCCAUACAAUAAAUGAGACUAAAUAAUUGCGACAAUAGCCUUGUUUGGGGAAUUGAGCAAUGUGAAGGAGAUUGGUGGAAAAUGUGAGAUUUAACCUUAUGAUUUGGUGAUUAAAUGUUGUUCAUAAAUCAAUGUGUGAAGAAUCAAGAAAUUGAAGUAAGGAAAUGUAAGUAAUGAUAGUUAAUUAACUAGUGUCUAAUUGGGUUUAUCACCGAUAAUUAUUCUUGAAAAUAAA
This 349-nucleotide long non-coding RNA is filed under the name Malus domestica (apple). RNAcentral describes it as "long non-coding RNA (MDOM_LNC012258)". The record is from RNAcentral. Lineage: Eukaryota; Viridiplantae; Streptophyta; Magnoliopsida; Rosales; Rosaceae.